CCAUAGUUUAUAUGCAAUAUAUU
This 23-nucleotide small nuclear RNA is filed under the name Arabidopsis thaliana (thale cress). RNAcentral's name for it is "snRNA_04204". Lineage: Eukaryota; Viridiplantae; Streptophyta; Magnoliopsida; Brassicales; Brassicaceae. The record is from RNAcentral.